RNAcentral lists this unclassified non-coding RNA (246 nucleotides) under uncultured Aureoboletus. RNAcentral describes it as "sequence contains ITS1". Lineage: Eukaryota; Fungi; Basidiomycota; Agaricomycetes; Boletales; Boletaceae. The record is from RNAcentral.
UUGAAAUUCAUUGAGGGAAGAUAGAAUAGUCUAGGAUUGUCGCUGGCUCUCUACAUGUGUGCAUGUGCACGUCCUUGCUAUCUCUGUCGACCUUUCAACAUACACACACCUGUGCACCUAUUGUAGGUCCUCGCAAGAGGAUCUAUGUAUUUUCACUUCACAACCCUAUCGUAUGUCCAUAGAAUGUUAUCUCAAAGACCUUCCGAGCUUGAUUGAUCGGUUGGUCAAUGAAAUAAAAAUCAUAUA